UACGAAGGGGGCAAGCGUUGUUCGGAUUUACUGGGCGUAAAGGGCGCGUAGGCGGACUCGUAAGUCAGAGGUGAAAGCCCUCGGCUCAACCGAGGAACUGCCUCUGAAACUGCAUAGCUCGAGGCCGGGAGAGGGUGGCGGAAUACCUGGUGUAGCGGUGAAAUGCGUAGAUAUCAGGAGGAACACCCGUGGCGAAGGCGGCCACCUGGACCGGUUCUGACGCUGAGGCGCGAAAGCGUGGGGAGCAAACAGG
RNAcentral lists this ribosomal RNA (253 nucleotides) under uncultured bacterium. Its description in RNAcentral is "partial 16S ribosomal RNA". It matches the Rfam family "Bacterial small subunit ribosomal RNA", at positions 524 to 776 of the family's 1533-position model. The record is from RNAcentral.